UACAGAGGGUGCGAGCGUUGUCCGGAAUCACUGGGCGUAAAGGGCGCGUAGGCGGCUUGAUAAGCGUGCGGUGAAAGCCCGGGGCUCAACCCCGGGUCGGCCGUGCGAACUGUCGAGCUGGAGCACUGUAGAGGCAGGUGGAAUUCCGGGUGUAGCGGUGGAAUGCGUAGAGAUCCGGAAGAACACCGGUGGCGAAGGCGGCCUGCUGGGCAGUGGCUGACGCUGAGGCGCGACAGCGUGGGGAGCAACAGG
RNAcentral lists this ribosomal RNA (252 nucleotides) under uncultured bacterium. RNAcentral's name for it is "partial 16S ribosomal RNA". It matches the Rfam family "Bacterial small subunit ribosomal RNA", at positions 524 to 775 of the family's 1533-position model. The record is from RNAcentral.